GUGUUAUACAGCGAAACUGCGAAUGGCUCAUUAAAACAGUUAUAGUUUAUUUGGUAAUCGAAAUUACAUGGAUAACCGUGGUAUCUUCUAGAGCUAAUACAUGCAGGUUAGCCCGACUUUGCGGAAGGGCUGUAUUUAUUAGAUAACAGACCAAUAUUCCUCGUGUCUAUUGUGGUGACUCAUAGUAACUGAUCGGAUCGCAUGGCCUUGUGCCGCGACAAACCAUUCAAGUUUCUGACCCAUCAGCUUUCGAUGGUAGUGUAUUGGACUACCAUGGCUUUCACGGGUAACGGAGGAUUAGGGUCCGAUUCCGGAGAGGGAGCCUGAGAAACGGCUACCACAUCUAAGGAAGGCAGCAGGCGCGUAAAUUACCCAAUCCUGACUCAGGGAGGUAGUGACAAGAAAUAACGGGUCGGGGCAUUCGCCUCGGGAUUGCAAUGAAUCGAAUUUACACCCCUUAAUGAGGAUCAAUUGGAGGGCAAGUCUGGUGCCAGCAGCCGCGGUAAUUCCAGCUCCAAUAGCGUAUAUUAAAGUUGGUGCAGUUAAAAAGCUCGUAGUUUGAUUUCUGGACGGGCGCUAACACCCGCUUGUUUAGUGAGGUGGCGGCGCCCGCCCAUCCUUCUGUUAACGCCACCGGCAUUCAUUUGCUGGCGGCGGGCUCAGAUAUUUUACCUUGAGAAAAUUAGAGUGUUUCAGGCAGGCUUGCGCCUAGAUACAUUAGCAUGGAAUAAUAGAAUAGGACUUUGGCCUCUUCUGUUGGUCUGAGGGGUUAGAGUAAUGAUUAAUAGGG
This 790-nucleotide ribosomal RNA is filed under the name uncultured eukaryote. RNAcentral's name for it is "SSU rRNA". It matches the Rfam family "Eukaryotic small subunit ribosomal RNA", at positions 71 to 877 of the family's 1831-position model. The record is from RNAcentral.